CAGAAGGAAGGGCCAGCACGGGCCUGAGGCCAGCUCAGAAGAGCAGAGGAUUUCACAGUGAGAAAGGUCAAUACUCUACCCGCUGUGAUACCCAGCUGACAAAUGGAAGAAACUGAGGACCAGAUAAGUUGUGCAAUGUGUCCAAGGGGACCCAGGAAGUAGUUGGAAAAUGUCAACGCUUUUUAAAAAAAAAUAGCCAGAGAAGUUAAAAGCGCUUGUUUGCCUUCUUGUCCCCAAAGAACCCACCAAUACUAAGAAAUCCUGACACUUCAUUCCAUUUUCAGAGCCGAGGGCCGAGGGCCUGAGCCGCUCCUGCUUCCCUUUAUGGCCCUCAUGGUUGGCAGCCGUGUCAAGAGGUUUCAGGGUGGAAAAUGAGGGCCCCACUCAAUGGGUCACGUUGCCUGAUACUAUGGAGCCAGCUCUCUCCUGACUUGGGGAAGGAGGAUUCUGACAGCUAAGCCAAAGUGGCAUCGGGGACUUUUCCCCAGCCCCAACAUCCUGUGCCCCAAUCCCCACCCCAACUGCCACCCCAGACCAAGACUUCUCCUUGAUAACAGCUAACAUUUGCAGAAGCUUUAUAUGCAGAAAGGGGGCUGGAUCUGGGGGUCCAAAACCUUGGGCAAAUCUCUUUAACCUCC
This is a non-coding RNA of Phascolarctos cinereus (koala), 638 nucleotides long. Lineage: Eukaryota; Metazoa; Chordata; Mammalia; Diprotodontia; Phascolarctidae. The record is from RefSeq and is a predicted model, not a curated record.